AUCUGUGUAGCAGAGUGGAAAGGAGCAGGGCUCGUAACCCAAAGGUUGCUGGUUCGAUUCCCCGCUGGGG
This 70-nucleotide transfer RNA is filed under the name Megalops atlanticus (tarpon). RNAcentral's name for it is "tRNA-OTHER". The record is from RNAcentral. Lineage: Eukaryota; Metazoa; Chordata; Actinopteri; Elopiformes; Megalopidae.